This 443-nucleotide unclassified non-coding RNA is filed under the name Chaetospora curvifolia. RNAcentral describes it as "partial external transcribed spacer 1". The record is from RNAcentral. Lineage: Eukaryota; Viridiplantae; Streptophyta; Magnoliopsida; Poales; Cyperaceae.
CUGUGCUUCGGCGCGGCCAACCGUCGUGGGGCUGUCUCUUCACUAAUCAUCCCGCUCUGCUCGUGCGGGACGGGAGGAAUGCUAGCUUGCGGCUGUCUGUGCGGUUCUACCCUAGUGGUACCUUGUUAGGCUUCUUGACGGAGUUUUUGCUUGCCCCGUGAUGUUCAUUAUCAUUGGGGCAGUCGAUAUGCUGGCUUAAUUUGCGUGCCGUGGUGGUCUAGGCCUCAGCAUUGCGCGUGCUUUUUGUCGGCUCUCACGGAUGCUGUGACCUUUGAGGAAUUCAUGGGCCUUCGGACCCUUGAUUUCGCGGGAUAUGCCCCUUGUUCCGGAGCAAGUGGGAUGUUUAUCCGAUUCGAUGAGCGAUUGCUGUUCUCGCGUUGUUCCAUGAUGCGGAGACGGCUCUCGUUUAGGACGUGUUACCUGGUUGAUCCUGCCAGUAGUCA